Nothobranchius furzeri (turquoise killifish) is the source of this 4760-nucleotide non-coding RNA. The record is from RefSeq and is a predicted model, not a curated record. Lineage: Eukaryota; Metazoa; Chordata; Actinopteri; Cyprinodontiformes; Nothobranchiidae.
AUCUUGGUGUGCGCUAAAAUCUCCAGCGCCGGACGGACGGACGCAGUUUGGACGCAGCAAACGAACGGCACCGCGGGGGAUGUGAGAAAAAGACACCCAGAGCAGACAUGGAUGUUUAACCGGCGUUUGGUUUUAAUUUUUCUAAUCUUUAUUUUUUUUAUCGUAAAGAAAAAUCCCACAAACAAACCUUGUGAUGUUGCUUCUGCCCAGGGGGGUGUAACUGAAUUAAACCUGCUCGAUGUCUCUCAUCAGUUUGUAACCGGAACAAAAUGAGGAUUUCUUCCCGCUGGAUUCUGCUGAUGUUCUCGGGCUUGUGGGGACUGAACAUGGGCGCGUUCCCGAGCAGCGUUCAGAUCGGUGGUCUGUUUAUCAGAAACACCGACCAGGAGUACACCGCCUUCCGACUGGCAAUAUUCCUGCACAACACAAGUCCGAACGCAUCGGAAGCUCCGUUCAACCUGGUGCCUCACGUGGACAACAUCGAAACAGCCAACAGCUUCGCUGUCACCAACGCCUUUUGCUCCCAGUACUCUCGCGGUGUCUUCGCCAUCUUCGGCCUGUACGACAAGCGCUCGGUCCACACAUUGACGUCCUUCUGCAGCGCCCUGCACAUCUCCCUCAUCACACCCAGCUUCCCCACCGAAGGCGAGAGCCAGUUCACCCUGCAGCUGCGGCCGUCCAUCCGAGGGGCACUGCUGUCCCUGCUGGACCACUACGACUGGAACAAGUUCGUCUUCCUCUACGACACAGACCGAGGCUACGCCAUCCUGCAGGCCAUCAUGGAGAAAGCAGGACAGAACAACUGGCAGGUCAGCGCCAUCUGUGUGGAGACUUUCAAUGAUGCCAACUACCGACAGCUGCUGGAGGAUCUGGACCGGCGUCAGGAGAAGAAGUUCGUCAUCGACCUGGAGGCCGAGAGGCUGCAGAACAUGUUGGAACAGAUCGUUAGCAUUGGGAAACAUGUGAAAGGAUACCAUUACAUCAUGGCCAAUCUGGGGUUUAAGGACAUCAACCUGGAGCGCUUCAUGCAUGGAGGAGCCAACGUGACGGGCUUCCAGUUGGUGGACUUCAGCAACCCUAUGGUCAUCAAACUGAUGCAGCGCUGGAAUAAACUGGAUCAGAGAGAGUAUCCAGGCUCAGACGCCCCACCUAAGUACACCUCGGCGCUGACGUACGACGGCGUGAUGGUGAUGGCAGAGGCCUUCAGGAACCUACGCAGACAGAAGGUGGACCUCUCCAGACGAGGCAAUGCCGGGGACUGCCUGGCGAACCCCGCUGCCCCAUGGAACCAGGGCAUCGACAUGGAGCGUACCCUCAAACAGGUCCGGUUGCAGGGAUUAACAGGUAAUGUCCAGUUUGAUCACUAUGGCCGCAGGGUCAACUACACGAUGGACGUGUUUGAACUGAAGAAUAAUGGACCCAGAAGGAUCGGCUACUGGAACGACGCAGACAAACUGGUGCUGAUCCAGGACUCCCAGCUGCUUCCAAACGACACUACCGGCAUGGAGAACCGCACCGUUAUUGUUACCACCAUUAUGGAGGGUCCCUAUGUGAUGCUAAAGAAGAACUGGGAGAUGUACGAGGGAAACGACCAGUAUGAAGGCUACUGUGUGGAUUUGGCUUCUGAGAUCGCCAAACACAUCGGGAUCAAGUACAAGAUUUCCAUCGUUCCCGAUGGGAAGUACGGCGCCAGGGAUCCAGAGACGAAGAUCUGGAACGGGAUGGUUGGGGAGCUGGUGUACGGGAAAGCGGAAAUCGCUGUGGCCCCUUUGACCAUCACGCUGGUCCGGGAGGAGGUGAUUGAUUUCUCCAAACCUUUCAUGUCACUUGGAAUUUCCAUUAUGAUUAAGAAGCCCCAGAAGUCUAAACCGGGGGUUUUCUCCUUCCUGGACCCGUUGGCCUACGAGAUCUGGAUGUGCAUCGUGUUCGCCUAUAUCGGUGUGAGCGUGGUGCUCUUCCUGGUCAGCCGCUUCAGCCCGUAUGAAUGGCACACCGAGGAGCCCGAAGAGGGCACCGACGGUCCGCCAAGCGACCAGCCCCCCAAUGAGUUUGGCAUCUUCAACUCUCUGUGGUUCUCCCUGGGCGCCUUCAUGCAGCAGGGCUGUGACAUCUCCCCCAGGUCGCUUUCAGGACGAAUCGUGGGGGGAGUGUGGUGGUUCUUCACCCUCAUCAUCAUCUCGUCCUACACAGCCAACCUGGCUGCUUUCCUCACAGUGGAGAGGAUGGUGUCCCCCAUCGAGAGCGCCGAGGACCUGGCCAAGCAGACCGACAUCGCCUACGGCACUCUGGACUCGGGUUCCACCAAAGAGUUCUUCAGGCGGUCCAAGAUCGCCGUCUACGAGAAGAUGUGGGGGUACAUGAAGUCCGCCGAGCCCACCGUCUUCACCAAGACCACGGCUGAAGGGGUGGCACGGGUCCGCAAGUCUAAAGGGAAAUACGCUUUCCUGUUGGAGUCCACCAUGAACGAGUACACAGAGCAGCGCAAGCCCUGCGACACGAUGAAAGUCGGAGGCAACUUGGACUCCAAAGGCUACGGAGUCGCUACACCAAAGGGUUCACAGUUAAGAACGCCCGUAAACCUUGCCGUAUUGAAACUGAGUGAAGCAGGAGUCUUAGACAAACUGAAAAACAAAUGGUGGUACGAUAAAGGGGAGUGUGGACCCAAGGACUCGGGAAGUAAGGACAAGUCGUCCCAAGCCCUCAGCCUGAGCAACGUGGCGGGGGUCUUCUACAUCCUCGUCGGGGGCCUGGGCCUGGCAAUGCUGGUGGCCCUCAUCGAAUUCUGCUACAAGUCACGCAACGAGGCCAAGAGAAUGAAGGUGGAGGCCCAGUCCUCAUCCCAAUCCCAGUCCCAACACCCCCAUUCCCACAGCUGCUACCCGUGCCGCUCAGGCAGCCCUCAACAUAGUCCAGAGCCUAGCCAGAGCCCCAGACCCAGCGGGUUUAGCGAGGUUUUCAGUGGUUUUGGCAGCGACGGGAAGGCUGAUAAGCUGUAGCGGGGGUUUUCGUAGAAGGUCCACCCAAACGUUUGCUCUCCCUUCACUAGCUCCGUGCGCAGAGACUCUAACGUUCACAGAAGCCAUGAGGAACAAGGCGCGUCUGUCCAUCACAGGCAGCGUUGGGGAGAAUGGCCGAGUGCUGACGCCAGAUUGUCCCAAGGCCGUCCACGCCGGGCCUCCCAUACGCCAGAGCUCCGGCCUGGCCCUGGUCUCCCCUGAGCUUCCUUGAAAACCAAAAAAAACCCCAAGUGCCUUAAUGCAAUAACACCAGAGACAAUAAAGACCACAACCAGGAAGAAACGACGAAGGGAGGGGAUUCAGACAGCCGACGGCUCUCCUCCGAUGGGCGCGGAGCAGGGGAAAGCCGCUGGUGGAGGGUUUGUUACGCGCUGCAACUUCCCUCCAAACAAGGAGGCAGAACUAUCUCUUUUUUUAAAGACUGUGGCCACGUGGAAGAGACUGUUUGGGCAAACCCACUGCAGAUAUUCAACCUUUACUAGUGACAGAAUAGGGAUGAAAUGAAAUAUCACAAGAUGUGACGAAGACGGAGGAAAGCGCAAACUCGAAAACUGCACAUCGGACCUUUGUUCCUCCGUUGGAGGGCUGUGAAGUGGUGGAAAAAAUAAAGAACUGAACUAAAGUCACGAUUGCAGCUCUUUUCAGUUUGAAAACAGACGUGAGCAGUGUUCACGAAAUAUCAACGCGUGACUCCGGGAGGGUCUUCACCCCAACCCCAACGCCAUGAUGAGAAAUAUUUGUACUUACAGAAAAUGAGAUGAUACAUCUAUUGAUACUGAAUAUAUGAGCAAACAUAGAAUACUGUGAAAAUUAGUAAAUAUGUAUAUUCUGAAAAGAACAAGAAGGAAGUCUCUAGCUGUACAUAGCGAUGGCCAUGCUUGCUUUUUAAACAGAUGUACAUAGCAGAUACUGUAGUGAGCAAAAGGUUUUUUCUAAAAAAAAAUCAUCUUUUAAGAUUUUAUUCAUCGCAAUAAUGAGAAGGACGACGCCACUUGAAGGAGGAGACACACAGGAGUUAGUGUUAAAAAUUCAGUUGAAUUCUUUACUGUAUUAUAUAGAAACUCUAAAUGUGAAGGGUGUCGACUGCCCAAUUAUUCUGAUACCCGAUGCUUAAAGACUAAUAAAUAUAUUCAACAAAUGAAUGUUAACUAGCUCCACCCCAAUCCUUAAAUCAUAACCCUCACUGUGCGGACGUAGACCCAGAGAGACGCUUUGAUAUCAAAUUCAUUCCAUCAGGAUUGUUUUUCAUCCCUUCAUCUAUUUUUUGUACUGAAAAAUGAAAGUUUCUGGUUUUAAAUGUGAACAGAUGACCAGUGGAGGUUUCAGGCUGCCACACGAGUCUAAAUGAACCGUAAGUUUUCGUUACGUUGACGUCUGUGUGUUGGACCAGGGCCAGUUCCUACUGAAUCACUGUGGAUCCUCUGGUGAGUCUGAAUAUGCUGUAGCCUGCUGAAGAGUCUGAUGUCUUCUGGAGCUCGGAGGACAAUCUGCAUCAAAAUACAAUGCAACCUUCAUCUUCAGCGGCGAGGAGCCGACGAAACUGUUUUAGUUGUUUCUCACCUCUCAUCUGGUCCUUGUUUCUUACGGGGGAGAAACCAGCUGAGAGAGCCCAGGUCUCACAUUCUUGUCCUGCCAUCUGUCUCUAGACCUGAAGUGGAAUAUUGUCUUUUUUCUUUUUUUUUUUUGGAUAAAUUAUAAAUCUUUAUUUUGAAUUUUUUAAGUAAAAACAAAUUUAAAUUGCAA